RNAcentral lists this ribosomal RNA (768 nucleotides) under Kocuria sp. RNAcentral describes it as "bacterial SSU rRNA". It matches the Rfam family "Bacterial small subunit ribosomal RNA", at positions 48 to 822 of the family's 1533-position model. The record is from RNAcentral. Lineage: Bacteria; Bacillati; Actinomycetota; Actinomycetes; Micrococcales; Micrococcaceae.
UUAACACAUGCAAGUCGAACGCUGAAGCUUAGUGCUUGCACUGGGUGGAUGAGUGGCGAACGGGUGAGUAAUACGUGAGUAACCUGCCCUUGACUCUGGGAUAAGCCUGGGAAACUGGGUCUAAUACUGGAUAUGACCUCCUGUCGCAUGGUGGGGGGUGGAAAGGGUUUGUACUGGUUGUGGAUGGGCUCACGGCCUAUCAGCUUGUUGGUGGGGUAAUGGCCUACCAAGGCGACGACGGGUAGCCGGCCUGAGAGGGUGACCGGCCACACUGGGACUGAGACACGGCCCAGACUCCUACGGGAGGCAGCAGUGGGGAAUAUUGCACAAUGGGCGCAAGCCUGAUGCAGCGACGCCGCGUGAGGGAUGACGGCCUUCGGGUUGUAAACCUCUUUCAGCACGGAAGAAGCGAAAGUGACGGUACGUGCAGAAGAAGCGCCGGCUAACUACGUGCCAGCAGCCGCGGUAAUACGUAGGGCGCAAGCGUUGUCCGGAAUUAUUGGGCGUAAAGAGCUCGUAGGCGGUUUGUCGCGUCUGCUGUGAAAGCCCGGGGCUUAACCCCGGGUGUGCAGUGGGUACGGGCAGACUUGAGUGCAGUAGGGGAGACUGGAACUCCUGGUGUAGCGGUGAAAUGCGCAGAUAUCAGGAAGAACACCGAUGGCGAAGGCAGGUCUCUGGGCUGUUACUGACGCUGAGGAGCGAAAGCAUGGGGAGCGAACAGGAUUAGAUACCCUGGUAGUCCAUGCCGUAAACGUUGGGCACUAGGUG